AAUGAGAGUAGCGCACUGGUGAGUAACACGUGGGAACAUACCUUUUUGGUGGGGGGACAACAGUUGGAAACGACUGCUAAUACCGCAUAAGCCCUAAGGGGGAAAGAUUUAUUGCCGAAAGAUUGGCCGCGGAAGAUUAGGUAGUUGGUGGGGUAAAGGCCUACCAAGCCGACGAUCUAUAGCUGGUCUGAGAGGACGAACAGCCACAUUGGAACUGAGACACGGUCCAGACUCCUACGGGAGGCAGCAGUGAGGAAUAUUGGGCAAAAGUGGGGGAAACCCUGACCCAGCAACGCCGCGUGAAGGAAGAAGGCUUUCGGGUUGUAAACUUCUUUUACCAGGGACGAAGGACGUGACGGUACCUGGAGAAAAAGCCACGGCUAACUACGUGCCAGCCGCAGC
This 402-nucleotide ribosomal RNA is filed under the name uncultured bacterium. RNAcentral's name for it is "bacterial SSU rRNA". It matches the Rfam family "Bacterial small subunit ribosomal RNA", at positions 88 to 518 of the family's 1533-position model. The record is from RNAcentral.